Molecule: long non-coding RNA, 1033 nt
Filed under: Nicotiana benthamiana
Lineage: Eukaryota; Viridiplantae; Streptophyta; Magnoliopsida; Solanales; Solanaceae
Description: long non-coding RNA (NBEN_LNC016978)
Source: RNAcentral
UGAAACUUUGCUUGUAAGUUUUCCUUUGUUUACUUUGUAAUUUUUCUUAAGAUUGUCGUCGAUCGUCUUCCUUUAGGAGACAUUGCUGUGCACUUAUUUUGCAUUUGCAGAUGAGAGAUUACCUCCCCCACCGAUUGCCGAUAUUCGCAAAUAGGUAAGCGCAAUCUCUCCCACACAAUGGGAAUUCGCGAGUGGGUGCCCUUCCAUGAGAAGUUUGGGCGCAAGACUCUUACUGGUGAGUUGGCUUAUAGUUUUAAUUUGUUCCCUGCUUCAUAAUUUUCUUUAGAACUUUGUCGUUGUACGAUCUAAUCCCUUCUUAUUAACAGGUCGGGGAGGAAUGAGGAGGAUGAGGUCUUCUCCGCUCGCAUUCCGCCAACCGUUCCCCUCUACCCAUUUUGUAUCGAGGGUGGCUGCCUGGCUAGCGCCAAGACGGCCUGCACCUACAGUCGAUGCUGUGUGCUCAGAGGUUUUAACUGGAGAUUUUGACUCCUGCAGCCUGUUCCACGAGUGAAUCUUCCCGCGCUAGUAGUGGGGAGGCCUCAUCGAAGAGACGGAGGUUAGUGUUGGAAAAGGUUUCCCCGAUCGAAACUUCUUCGAGGGGGAUCCUUGCCCCGGCGUUGACCGGGGUCGGAGGUGGUACCAAUCCAACCGUGGAGACGACACCCAUUGUGAGUGUUCAAUGGGUUGAUAUGAUGGAGAGGCAGAGUUCCGAGGCUGCCAUUGCUAUUUUGGGAGGCCCUCCAACAUCGCCACCGACCGCACGCCCUCUUCGGCCAGUGAGAGGGGGAAGGCGUCAUGGUUGACAAUUAUGAGUCCGAGUUCGACAUUGAUCAUGAGGAUAUGAGGAUGUUCGAGGAGGGCUUUAACCGAACCGUAGUAGAAGCGGUAAGCCCUAUCGGAAUACUUGAAAUUCCAUCUGAGCUCAACCUAUUGCAUGAUACGGUGGACUUUAUGUUGCAGUUCGAUCUUCUAUGAUUUCCCGCUGAAAGAAGAGCUCUUCAGGAUGUUAGCGACUCCGAGUUGUCUCAUGGUG